Oncorhynchus nerka (sockeye salmon) is the source of this 2138-nucleotide long non-coding RNA. RefSeq lists it as uncharacterized. The record is from RefSeq and is a predicted model, not a curated record. NCBI's taxonomy places the organism in Eukaryota, Metazoa, Chordata, Actinopteri, Salmoniformes, Salmonidae. The transcript has 3 exons.
AUGUUUGUUUUUGCGGGUAGUAUUGACCGAAGUGAGCUGAUUUGAAGACAACGAUAAAUGACUACCUAACGCACCAAUAAUGUUAGCAAGGCUUCAUUGAUUGACUAUAUUUCUGCCCAAUGACCACUGAUCUUCUUGAAAUCUAGCUGGGUAGAUAGCCAAUGAGCUGAGGUAAACGCCACUAUGUAAUGGUUUGGGGUUGGCCCACAAUUACUUGGUUGUAAUCGCACGCGCAGAGAACUCCAUUCUCGCCUUGACGAUCAGAUGAGUUGCUUGUAAGGCUUUUUACGCGCAGCUGUAUUUCGGAAAGUUGUAGUUUGAACGAUUUCAUUGAAGAUAUCAUGGCGAAUAAUUAAUGUAAAGCGAAGUCAAACUCUAAAGUGAAAGUGAGACAGAUUUUUUGUUUGAGGAAUCUUGGAGUGUUAUGAUUCAAACGAACUGAGGAGCUGUUUCUGCAAGGACAGGACGUACUUCUGGACGGCCUUCCUCUCCUCUGAGGACCCAGUGAGGGUGGAGCUCAGUCAGAGAGCUGUUGAGGGACUGGUUAGGAAGAACACUUCUACAGCCAGAGAGGGGCAGUCAAGAAAUGGAACAGCAAGGCCACAGAACAUGACAUAAGCAGAGCUGUGGGAGACCACCUCAAGCCCCUGGUAGAGCCGGGAGUGGUGUUUUACCACUCCACCACGCCUUCAGCAGGCUUGAAAAGUGGAAUUGAUCUGUUUGAUCCAUUUGUUUGUUUCAGUUUUCAGUAGUUGAAUCCUGUGAUGUAUUGUUCAUUUCAACAUUUUUGAAAAGUGAUACUAAACUUACAUACCAUGCACCAAAUUGACAUAGUGGAAGAUAUACUAAAUUGAUACUGUUUUUCAUACUAAGAUGGACCAUGCACUAUAUUGACAAGGUAGAAGAUAGCAUGAAAAACAGUAUACAUUCAGUCUGAGAUGGACCAAGAUAUGCCUUUGCACAUAUUUGUUCAUUGGUUUAGUAAGAGUGUUGAUUGGUUCAUUUGUUUUGCAAUAUGAUCAAAUCAAGCUUUAUUUAUAUAGUACAUUUCAGACAUGGCUUCACAGGAAAAAAAUUAACUGAUAUAUUUAGUACAUAAACAAACAGAACCUUAACUGAAAGACUGAGCAUUUUAAGGAAAUGUCAUUGAUUAAAAUAUUAACAAUUGGAUGCAACAUCCAACACAAAAUAUAAGCUUGUUUUACUCCAAUAUUUGUUCUAACGUUCUCCAUCAAGAAACCCAAAAAACUAAAGUCAAAUUAAACGUUACAUGAAUUGUAAAUAUGAAAUAUCAAAAUCAAAUAUACACCGCUUUGUUAAUAUGUAUUGGCAAUAAUUAACUUAAUGAAUGGUGAGGCAUGGAAUAAUAAAACAUGUAUCUUUGUCAGGCGGAAUGUUUGAAAUAUGAGGUGAUUUGAUUCAUACUUCUUCAGUCGUGGAAUAAAGACAAUUAGCAUUUGAAUGUUGUAAAGAAAUACUGGAGUGAUGUAGGAAUGUUAAUAAAAAUGUAUUAUACUGCAUCCAUGUGAAUCGGCGACAAGUACGUUGAAAUUAAUUUAUCAAGUCAUUGAAAAAAGACCUGAAAAUAUUUUAUUAUAUAAACAAAACACGACAACAUCAUACAAACAACAUCACACCUGCUCUUUUUUUGUUAGUCACUUUUUGUUAAUUUACAUAAAUAGUAAUAGAUGUAAACAGAUGGCUACAUUUUGAAGUGUUGCAUUUUGAUUCAAGAGGGUCACCAACGUGGUAAGUGUAACACAACUCUUUUUUUUUGUUAGGACAUUUUUGUUAAAUCACAUAAAUAAUACUCUUUCAAUUCAGAGCCUGGAUUUGGCUAAAAUCCAUAUCAUGCUAAAAUCAAAUGAACAGGGGGCAAACAUUUAGGGUGCUACAUUGUGAAAUUCAUUCAAAUACUCAAGACUACAAUGUUAAAACAUUCUACAUUGUGACAAUAUUUAAUUGAUAUUGUGAAACAACUUCAUGUAUGUAUUUUCUGAUGUUUGAUUAGAUAUAUUUUAUCAGAGUAUCUCUUGUCACAUUGAUCAUAGCCAUAAGGUUUCUCUCAUGUGUGUGUCCGCUGGUGUGAUAUCAGGCUGUUUGACCGAGUAAAACUCUUCCCACAUUGAUUACAGUUA